RNAcentral lists this ribosomal RNA (433 nucleotides) under uncultured bacterium. RNAcentral's name for it is "partial 16S ribosomal RNA". It matches the Rfam family "Bacterial small subunit ribosomal RNA", at positions 29 to 507 of the family's 1533-position model. The record is from RNAcentral.
AACGAACGCUGGCGGCAUGCCUAACACAUGCGAGUCGAACGAUGCCUCCGGGCAUAGUGGCGCACGGGUGCGUAACGCGUGGGAAUCUGCCCUUGGGUUCGGAAUAACUCGCCGAAAGGCGAGCUAAUACCGGAUGAUGACGUAAGUCCAAAGAUUUAUCGCCCAAGGAUGAGCCCGCGUAGGAUUAGCUAGUUGGUGGGGUAAAGGCCCACCAAGGCGACGAUCCUUAGCUGGUCUGAGAGGAUGAUCAGCCACACUGGGACUGAGACACGGCCCAGACUCCUACGGGAGGCAGCAGUGGGGAAUAUUGGACAAUGGGCGAAAGCCUGAUCCAGCAAUGCCGCGUGAGUGAUGAAGGCCUUAGGGUUGUAAAGCUCUUUUACCCGGGAUGAUAAUGACAGUACCGGGAGAAUAAGCUCCGGCUAACUCCGUG